This 433-nucleotide long non-coding RNA is filed under the name Helianthus annuus (common sunflower). Lineage: Eukaryota; Viridiplantae; Streptophyta; Magnoliopsida; Asterales; Asteraceae. The record is from RNAcentral.
CUCCAAAGGUGAAGUUCGAGACCGCUUGCUUUCAUCCUCAUGUCGAUGCUUUCGGAAAUAUAUGUUUGGAUAUUCUUUAGGACAAAUGGUCAGCUGCGUAUGAUGUGAGAAGUAUACAAGCAGAUAAAUCGAUCAAUGGCCUUAUCUUAAUGACGCUUUAACCAAGUUUCAGGUACAAGAAGAAGAUGAAUACGCUUCACAGAUACAAGCUGUUUUCAUCAGAAGUUCAUGAUGCACAAGACCUUGGAAUAGCUAUAUCCCAGUUGAUUUCGUUUGAAGACUCGAGACUACAGAGAUUUCGUUUCAAUUACAAGAUUUGAUGCAAUAACCAUGUUAGAAAGAUUGAGGAUCCGAUUGACUCUGCUUUCUCAUGACAACCGGCAAGUAUGCAACCAUGGUUUUUGGUUAUUUUAGCUGAUGCAACUUUAGGUGC